GAUUUUUCAUUCCAGCGUCAUCCUCUCUGACGAUUUCUCCCUCUGGUUUGAGCAAAACAAGAUAGUUAAAGAGAUUUUAUUUGUCACUCGUGUCCUACAUUCUGAAAGAAAAUCCCAUUGGUUCUUCUAAACCGCUCGGCAAUGUACAUUUGCAUCUUCAUUCUGUCUCGUGAUUUUUUUCAAUCUUUAAGUACCAUGAGGAAUUCUGAAAGUGAUUAAUCCCUUCAUUAUUCUCUGCCCUGUUGAAUUCUUCCAGAGAUUCAGAAAGGAGGACAUGCAACUGUUGGGAUCGGAUGCAUUUACGCGGAGGUCAAAUUCUUUACAAAGAGCAUGUACUUGUUACUCUUGCCAGUUUCUGGUUUUUGAACUAGCCAAAGCAUCUGCAUUUUAUGAACUACCUAUGAUGAUUUCCUGCUGAUUAUAGUAGUUGGU
RNAcentral lists this long non-coding RNA (432 nucleotides) under Eucalyptus grandis. RNAcentral's name for it is "long non-coding RNA (EGRA_LNC007723)". Lineage: Eukaryota; Viridiplantae; Streptophyta; Magnoliopsida; Myrtales; Myrtaceae. The record is from RNAcentral.